RNAcentral lists this long non-coding RNA (250 nucleotides) under Drosophila guanche. The record is from RNAcentral. Lineage: Eukaryota; Metazoa; Arthropoda; Insecta; Diptera; Drosophilidae.
CAAAAGAACAGCAACAAUAACAACAGCAACAAGCAGGGAAACUGAUGGACUAGGUAGUACCUACUAUUGGGAAAGAAAAUGUUGAAGAACGAAUAGUUCAAAGCAGGACGUUGAGUCAUUAGCCGAAACUCAAUUAGGGAAAUUAGGAAAAUUUCAGGCUAAUCAUAGCUCUCACUCUAGCCACCCUCUAUAUCCUCUUCCAACCGAUGGGAGAUGCUGCAUAAUGCGUGAUAAUAAUGGAAAUAUUCAC